UACGUAGGGUGCAGGCGUUAAUCGGAAUUACUGGGCGUAAAGCGUGCGCAGGCGGUUAUGUAAGACAGUUGUGAAAUCCCCGGGCUCAACCCUGGGAAUUGCAUCUGUGACUGCAUAGCUAGAGUACGGUAGAGGGGGAUGGAAUUCCGCGUGUAGCAGUGAAAUGCGUAGAUAUGCGGAGGAACACCGAUGGCGAAGGCAAUCCCCUGGACCUGUACUGACGCUCAUGCACCGAA
This 236-nucleotide ribosomal RNA is filed under the name uncultured bacterium. Its description in RNAcentral is "partial 16S ribosomal RNA". It matches the Rfam family "Bacterial small subunit ribosomal RNA", at positions 524 to 758 of the family's 1533-position model. The record is from RNAcentral.